UACGUAGGGUGCGAGCGUUGCCCGGAUUUACUGGGCGUAAAGGGCUCGUAGGCGGCCAACUAAGUCAGACGUGAAAUCCCUCGGCUUAACCUGGGAACUGCAUCUGAUACUGGAUGGCUUGAGUUCGGGAGAGGGAUGCGGAAUUCCAGGUGUAGCGGUGAAAUGCGUAGAUAUCUGGAGGAACACCGGUGGCGAAGGCGGCAUCCUGGACCGACACUGACGCUGAGGAGCGAAAGCCAGGGGAGCAAACGGG
RNAcentral lists this ribosomal RNA (253 nucleotides) under uncultured bacterium. RNAcentral's name for it is "partial 16S ribosomal RNA". It matches the Rfam family "Bacterial small subunit ribosomal RNA", at positions 524 to 776 of the family's 1533-position model. The record is from RNAcentral.